Molecule: ribosomal RNA, 405 nt
Filed under: uncultured bacterium
Lineage: Bacteria
Description: partial 16S ribosomal RNA
Rfam family: Bacterial small subunit ribosomal RNA
Source: RNAcentral
AUUGAACGCUGGCGGCAGGCUUAACACAUGCAAGUCGAACGAGUGGCGGACGGGUGAGUAAUGCUUGGGAAUCUAGCUUAUGGAGGGGGUUACCUACGGGAAACUGUAGCUAAUACCGCGUACCAUAGGAUGAGCACAAGUGGGAUUAGGUAGUUGGUGAGGUAAAGGCUCACCAGGCCGACGAUCGCUAGCUUGUCUGAGAGGAUGACAAGCCACACUGGUACUGUGACCCGGCCCAGACUCCGACGGGAGUCACUAGCGGGGAAUAUUGCGCAAGUGGGGCAACCUGACGCAGGCAUGCAGCGUGAAUGAAGAGGGCCUAAGGGUUGUAAAGUUCUUCCUGUAGCGCGGCGGUAACUACCGAAGAAGCAUCGGCUAACACCGUGCUAGCAGCCGCGGUAAUAC